Long non-coding RNA from Daphnia pulex (common water flea), 768 nucleotides. RefSeq lists it as uncharacterized. The record is from RefSeq and is a predicted model, not a curated record. The transcript has 3 exons. NCBI's taxonomy places the organism in Eukaryota, Metazoa, Arthropoda, Branchiopoda, Diplostraca, Daphniidae.
GCAGCAAAAACUUACACACAUACACACACUUUCUCCCGCACGGUUCUUGGUUCAGUCAACAAAUGGACAUGUGCGCACUAGCAUCAUGAAUGGAAGCGGGUCAAUUGCAACAGUCCAAUGAAGAUUGGAGCAAUUUUUUCCAGAAAUACAGUCACCAAUUUCAUCAAAGAAGUGAACAUGCUUAGUGAGACAGAUAGGUCGUCAUAGAUGAUGAAGCAUCUGGACAAAAGUAGAAGCGUGUGAUGGGAUAAUUGCCAUCCCAGAACGUGGUUUGAGAAAAAAAAUCGAUUUAGUACUUAUAGCGUUCUACUUCACGCUGUUGGGGCAUUCACACAUGAUGUUAAAAUGUAGUCCAAAAAGGCAGACGGUCGAGAUCGUAUAGACGGUUGACCUAAUAAUAAUUCAUACGAUUCAGUCUUACGUAACUACCGGUACCGUAUUGAUCUGUGUACAGUUAUGGUAAAUAGUCGACCGAAAUGUUCGUACAACUCACUUUUAUUCUGAAUGAAAUGGAAUAUAAUAGAAUGUAAGAAAUAUAUUUAUUUGAUGUUAAUUAAAACCUCUUCUCAAAAUUUGUACGUUUACUUUCACCGCAAUAAAUUUUAAAGAGCUUACUUAAUCAUUUAAAGUUUAUUUGUGUGUUAUGACUGAAUUUUUUGGUAGUUAACACAAAUAAAAAAGAAAAAAAAGAAAAGAAAAUGAGCUGAACAAAAGGCACAUCAGCGGCGUCAUUCAUCCCUAAAUUAUUAAAUUUAUUUGUCCCAGUAA